Molecule: non-coding RNA, 2146 nt
Organism: Hydra vulgaris (swiftwater hydra)
Lineage: Eukaryota; Metazoa; Cnidaria; Hydrozoa; Anthoathecata; Hydridae
Source: RefSeq, a predicted model, not a curated record
GCAAAGAAAUAGUGUAUUUUACAUAAUGCAGAACCGUAAUUAACAAAACGAACAAUAGGCGUAACAAUGCGUAACUAUGCGCACUAAUAAUGAUAAUAUUUAUUUGGCUAUUCAUUAUAGGCGGAUAUAUUUAAAGUGAAUAUAGAGAGAGGUAAAGGAGUUAAUAAUAUACAUUAUAUGUAAUUAAAUGUAAUAAUUUUUAUAUAUUUGUAAAUGUGACGUUAUCACAGUUAUAUAACAAUAAACUUACAAUAGAAACCUUUGAAUGCAAAGUUUGCUUGAAAAUUGCACAUGGUAAUGAGUUUAUGCUUCGUAAGGCCUGCGAAGCAUGUCAUAACAUCGCACUUUUUAAUCGAUAUAUGAAAUUAAAACAGGAGACCUAUUUUCGUUUUUUAGAUUCCGAAGUGGACAUUAAGCGUUUUCUUUCUAAAAAAAAUUCUAAAACUCAAAAGUUCAAAAAAAGGAAAAGUUAUUUCUAAGGAGGAGCUUCUUUCUACCUCUGAAGAAAGCGAGAAGGAAAAUUCUGAUAAAGAUCCAGAAUUUGUUCCAUCAACACCUCAAGCUGCCAAAUUAAAAACAAAAAAAAGCAGACUUGAGGGGUUAUGUUAAUCACACAAAUUUCUUUGCCAGUUGCUACAACCUUAACUAAAGUUAUUGAAAAACCACACUCUCCUUUUUCUACCCCAGUUAAAGUUAAUUCAACAACCAUUUCUCAUAUUCCAAAAAAAAACAUUUCAAAAAAAGUAAAGUUACUGUUACAAUUCAAAAAAAAAAGUGUAGUUUGCGAAAAAAACUUGGAUGACAUUGUUGAAGAUGACAUUCCAUAUCUAAAUUUAAUUAGAUUUAACAAGAGAUCGCCUUAUUUUUGAAGAUAGCCAUUGUGGAGAUGUUAAUUAUUUUCCAGGAGUGGCAGUUAAAUGCAAUUUGAGUGAUUCAUUAGAUCCUGACAAGUACUUGGCUUCUGUUCGAUUUUUAGAAUACCGAAAGUCUAUGAUUGAACGUGAUUUAAAAAGCUUUUUUGGUGACAUAGAGUAAGUUUUUUUGCUAACACUUAUUUUAUAGUGUGGCAAUUUAGUAAUAAUAUUUUUUUUAUGUAAGGCCACUGCUUAUAAAAGAAUGUCCAGCCGUGUCGAAUAUAAAAUUAAGUGCACGGAAAUGAACUGCUCUUCGUUCUCAACAAAAUAUUCGAAACAUUUAAUUGAAAAACAUCAAUUUGGCCUGCAGCAAGCUAAUUACUUGCAGUCUUUUCACAUUUGUUUGUUCAAGUUUAAAACUCGGUUGGUUAAACAUUCGAAUAAACCUUAUGCAUGCAGUGAGUGCAUGGUUUGGUUUGACCGCCUUGAUAAAUAUUUGAUUAAUGAACACAAGUUUGAAUCGGGAAGGUAAGGUUAAUUUCAAUUAUUACACAAUUUAAAAUUGUUUAUGUUGCGUUAUUACAAGUACUGUUAGGGUUAUUACAAAUGUUGCAUUAUUACAAGUUUUAUUAAAUAUUUUUUUCUGUUGCAGUGAUUCGUUUAAGGAAGCAAUGUCUUCUAUGAAAAUAAAGUCAAAAGAGUUUAUAGUGAAACAAACCGCCGAGUUUUUUGGUUUGAAUUUUAUAAUAGUUAAUGUUAUGUUAAUAAAAAAUCCUUAUUAUUUUUAUUGAAAUGGUAGUGCAUAGGAUUAUAAUAAAUCUACAUUAUAAUUUGUACACUUUUUAGGUGAAACAAAACAAACAAAUUUUAGUGCUCUUGUGAGUUGUCCUUCGGGAACAAGGAGUACUUUUCAUGUUAAAAAAAAAAUGCAGUCAGGGGGUGCCUAAUUCUCAGCGUUAGUUUAGUAUUACUUUAGUUUUUUUAGUAUAAGAGUUAAAAAGCUAUUAGAACUAAAAGGGUAUUUGAGCAAUUUUGUAACUUUUAGAAACAAGUCAUAUUGAGGAAAAUAGGCCUGGUUCAAGUGGUCUAGAACGAUCUAAACCAAUAACCAAAGACGGAUUAAAAGCUGCUUUAGACAGUUUAUGACUACUCUAGUUCGCCUGAAAAAAAUAGUAGUAGUGUGGUCCCAGUUUCGCCUCAAUCAAGUCCUAAUAAAGCCAAUAUCUAUGGAAUUUCUAAACGAGAAUUACGUUAUGACGCAUUUAUAAGAUUUAUAAAAUAAAAAAACCUGA